Chiroxiphia lanceolata (lance-tailed manakin) is the source of this 179-nucleotide long non-coding RNA. RefSeq lists it as uncharacterized. The record is from RefSeq and is a predicted model, not a curated record. The transcript is spliced from 3 exons. NCBI's taxonomy places the organism in Eukaryota, Metazoa, Chordata, Aves, Passeriformes, Pipridae.
GACCUUGUUCACCACUGGUUUGAAGAUAACUAUCUUGCUGAAGCUUUCAAAGAGAUCAAGGAUAGAGAAUUUGAGACGGACUGCAGAAAAUUUCUUAACCUGCUGAAUGAAAGGCUUGGGAAUGAAAGAAGAGUGUAUUCGUUUCCAUGCAUAUCUGCUUUUGCUGACACAAAGGAGGU